GCGUGAAUCUGCCGGGACCAUCCGGUAAGGCUAAAUACUCCCGAGAGACCGAUAGCGAACCAGUACCGUGAGGGAAAGGUGAAAAGCACUUCGAACAGAAGAGUGAAAUAGUUCCUGAAACCGUGCGCCUACAAGCGGUCGGAGCUCGUUAAUGAGUGACGGCGUGCCUUUUGCAUAAUGAACCUACGAGUUGCCUUUGCCGGCAAGGUUAAGUGUGACGACACACGUAUCCGAAGCGAAAGCGAGUCUGAACAGGGCGUAUAGUCGGCAGUGGCAGACGCGAAACCAAGUGAUCUACCCUUGGCCAGGUUGAAGGCUGGGUAACACCAGCUGGAGGACCGCACCAAUAAGCGUUGAAAAGCUUCUGGAUGAGCUGAGGGUAGGGGUGAAAGGCUAAUCAAACUUGGAGAUAGCUCGUACUCCCCGAAAUGCAUUUAGGUGCAGCCUUGCGGGUUACUGAUGUGAGGUAGAGCGACUGAUAAGAUGCGAGGGCUUCACCGCCUAUCAAGUCUUGACAAACUCCGAAUGCGCAUCAGUUCUACCGCAGGAGUGAGGGCAUGGGUGCUAAGGUCCGUGCCCGAGAGGAGAAGAAUCCGGACCACCUGCUAAGGUCCCGAAAUGACAGCUAAGUUAAACUAACGAAGUCUGACUGCUAAGACAGCUAGGAUGUUGGCUUGGAAGCAGCCAUUCAUUUAAAGAGUGCGUAACAGCUCACUAGUCGAGGAGUCGGGCGUGGAUAAUAAUCGGGUAUCAAGUUGUCUACCGAAGCAGUGGGAUCAUUGAUAUGAUCGGUAGGGGAGCAUUCCAGUCGGCGUCGAAGGCGUACCGUGAGGUAUUCUGGAGCGUCUGGAAAAGCAAAUGUAGGUAUAAGUAACGAUAAAGGGGGCGGGAAACCCCCUCGCCGAAAGACUAAGGUUUCCUGAUCAACGCUAAUCGGAUCAGGGUCAGUCGGGUCCUAAGGCUCAGCCGAACGGCGAUGCCGAUGGCAGAAACGGUUAAUAUUCCGUUACUACCUUCAGGAGUGACGUGGAGACGCAGUAGUGACAGUGCCGCCAUCUGACGGAAUAGAUGGUUGAAGGGUGUAGGAGUCGAUCAUGGCAGGCAAAUCCACCAUGAGAUCCGAACCUGACAGUAUGCCGCGUCCUUCGGGACAAGGCAAUAGUGCGCGUAAGCAUGCUGCCGAGAAAAUCCGCUAAACUUAAUCCUGCAGGUACCCGUACCGCAAACGGACACACGUAGUCGGGAUGAAUAUUCUAAGGCGCUUGAGUGAUUCACGGUUAAGGAACUAGGCAAACUGACCCUGUAACUUCGGGAUAAAGGGUCCCUACCCUUUUAUGGGAGGGCGCAGAGAAUCGGUCCAGGCAACUGUUUAACAAAAACACAGGGCUGUGCGAAGUCGAAAGACGCUGUAUACAGCCUGACACCUGCCCGGUGCUGGAAGGUUAAGAGGAGAUGUCAUCGCAAGAGAAGCAUUGAAUUGAAGCCCCAGUAAACGGCGGCCGUAACUAUAACGGUCCUAAGGUAGCGAAAUUCCUUGUCGGGUAAGUUCCGACCUGCACGAAUGGUGUAAUGAUCUGGACGCUGUCUCAACCGUGAGCUCAGUGAAAUUGUAGUAUCGGUGAAGAUGCCGAUUACCCGCGAUGGGACGAAAAGACCCCGUGAACCUUUACUAUAGCUUAUCAUUGAAUCUGGGCACGUGAUGUGUAGGAUAGGUCGGAGGCUUUGAAGCAGGUACGCCAGUAUUUGUGGAGCCGCUGUUGAAAUACGACCCUUUAUUUGUUUGGAUUCUAACCCGUGGAUACGGGGACAUUGAUUGGUGGGUAGUUUGACUGGGGUGGUCGCCUCCAAAAGCGUAACGGAGGCUUCUAAAGGUGCCCUCACGACGAUUGGUAACCGUCGGCAGAGUGUAAUGGCAUAAGGGCGCUUGACUGGGAGACUUACAAGUCGAUCAGGUAGGAAACUAGAGCAUAGUGAUCCGGUGUUUCUGUAUGGAAAGGACAUCGCUCAAAGGAUAAAAGGUACUCCGGGGAUAACAGGCUGAUCCCUCCCAAGAGCUCAUAUCGACGGAGUGGUUUGGCACCUCGAUGUCGGCUCGUCACAUCCUGGGGCUGGAGAAGGUCCCAAGGGUUCGGCUGUUCGCCGAUUAAAGUGGCACGCGAGCUGGGUUCAGAACGUCGUGAGACAGUUCGGUCUCUAUCUAUCGUGGGCGUAUGAAAUUUGCGUGGCUCUGACACUAGUACGAGAGGACCGUGUUGGACAGACCUCUGGUUUGCCGGUUGUGCCGCCAGGUGCAUUGCCGGGUAUCUAAGUCUGGAUCGGAUAAGUGCUGAAAGCAUCUAAGUACGAAGCCGGCCACAAGAUUAGAUUUCUCAGGGUCGUUGU
Molecule: ribosomal RNA, 2382 nt
Filed under: human gut metagenome
Description: bacterial LSU rRNA
Rfam family: Bacterial large subunit ribosomal RNA
Source: RNAcentral